UGCCAGCAGCCGCGGUAAUACGGAGGGUGCAAGCGUUGCUCGGAAUUACUGGGCGUAAAGCGUGCGUAGGCGGCUUCACAAGUCAGACGUGAAAGCCCGGGGCUUAACCCCGGGAGGUCGUUUGAAACUAUGGAGCUUGAGUAUGGGAGAGGGGUGUGGAAUUCCCAGUGUAGAAGUGAAAUUCGUAGAUAUUGGGAGGAACACCAGUGGCGAAGGCGACACCCUGGCCCGAGACUGACGCUGAGGCACGAAAGCAUGGGGAGCAAACAGGAUUAGAUA
RNAcentral lists this ribosomal RNA (279 nucleotides) under uncultured bacterium. RNAcentral's name for it is "partial 16S ribosomal RNA". It matches the Rfam family "Bacterial small subunit ribosomal RNA", at positions 506 to 784 of the family's 1533-position model. The record is from RNAcentral.